CAGUCGCCGCGGGAAUACGAAGGGUGCAAGCGUUAAUCGGAAUUACUGGGCGUAAAGCGUGCGUAGGCGGUGAGUUAAGUCUGCUGUGAAAUCCCCGGGCUCAACCUGGGAAUGGCAGUGGAUACUGGCUCGCUAGAGUGUGUCAGAGGAUGGUGGAAUUCCCGGUGUAGCGGUGAAAUGCGUAGAGAUCGGGAGGAACAUCAGUGGCGAAGGCGGCCAUCUGGGACAACACUGACGCUGAGGCACGAAAGCGUGGGGAGCAAACAGGAUCAGAUACCCGGGUAGUCCCUGUCUCUUAUAA
This 301-nucleotide ribosomal RNA is filed under the name uncultured bacterium. RNAcentral's name for it is "partial 16S ribosomal RNA". It matches the Rfam family "Bacterial small subunit ribosomal RNA", at positions 509 to 809 of the family's 1533-position model. The record is from RNAcentral.